AAGCGACCAAGCGUACACGGUGGAUGCCCUGGCAGUCAGAGGCGAUGAAGGACGUGCUAAUCUGCGAAAAGCGCCGGUAAGGUGAUAUGAACCGUUAUAACCGGCGAUGUCCGAAUGGGGAAACCCAGUGUGACUCGUCACACUAUCAUUAACUGAAUCCAUAGGUUAAUGAGGCGAACCGGGGGAACUGAAACAUCUAAGUACCCCGAGGAAAAGAAAUCAACCGAGAUUCCCCCAGUAGCGGCGAGCGAACGGGGAGGAGCCCAGAGCCUGAAU
RNAcentral lists this ribosomal RNA (276 nucleotides) under Salmonella enterica subsp. diarizonae serovar 61:r:z53. RNAcentral's name for it is "partial 23S ribosomal RNA". It matches the Rfam family "Bacterial large subunit ribosomal RNA", at positions 1 to 281 of the family's 2925-position model. The record is from RNAcentral. Lineage: Bacteria; Pseudomonadati; Pseudomonadota; Gammaproteobacteria; Enterobacterales; Enterobacteriaceae.